This 381-nucleotide long non-coding RNA is filed under the name Mytilus galloprovincialis (Mediterranean mussel). The record is from RNAcentral. Lineage: Eukaryota; Metazoa; Mollusca; Bivalvia; Mytilida; Mytilidae.
ACCGAUUCAUCUGAAAAUUUCAGGGCAGAUAGAUCUUGACCUGAUAAACAUUUUUAUCCCAUGUCAGAUUUGCUCUAAAUGCUUUGGUUUUUGAGUUAUAAGCCAAAAACUGCAUUUUACCCCUAUGUUCUAUUUUUAGCCGUGGCGGCCAUCUUGGUUGGUUGACCGGAUCACGCCACACAUUUUUUAAACUAGAUACCCAAUGAUGAUUGUGGCCAAGUUUGGUUUGAUUUGGCCCAGUAGUUUCAGAGGAGAAGAUUUUUGUAAAAGUUAACGACGACGGACGCAGGACGACGACGGACGACGACGGACGACGCCGGACGCCGGACGCAAAGUGAUGGGAAAAGCUCACUUGGCCCUUCGGGCCAGGUGAGCUAAAAA